UGCGUAGGCGGAUUAAUAAGUCAGCGGUGAAAACCUUCAGCUUAACUGGAGACUUGCCAUUGAUACUGUUAGUCUUGAGUAUGGUUAAGGUAGGCGGAAUGUGUAAUGUAGCGGUGAAAUGCUUAGAUAUUACACAGAACACCAAUUGCGAAGGCAGCUUACUGAGCCAUAACUGCCGCUGAUGCACGAAAGCGUGGGGAGCGAACAGGAUUAGAUACCCUGGUAGUCC
RNAcentral lists this ribosomal RNA (229 nucleotides) under uncultured bacterium. Its description in RNAcentral is "partial 16S ribosomal RNA". It matches the Rfam family "Bacterial small subunit ribosomal RNA", at positions 568 to 796 of the family's 1533-position model. The record is from RNAcentral.